GGGGACGUGGCCCAGCCAAGUGGAAUUCCAACUGCGAAUUCACCCUGGACAGGCAAGGCGACAGGCUCCAGACCUGUAUAUCGUCGGUUCGAAUCCGACCGUCCCCA
Molecule: transfer RNA, 107 nt
Filed under: Nitrososphaerota archaeon
Lineage: Archaea; Thermoproteati; Nitrososphaerota
Also listed under: 1 other name
Description: Thaumarchaeota archaeon tRNA-Trp
Rfam family: tRNA
About the family: Transfer RNA (tRNA) molecules are approximately 80 nucleotides in length. Their secondary structure includes four short double-helical elements and three loops (D, anti-codon, and T loops).
Source: RNAcentral